This 301-nucleotide ribosomal RNA is filed under the name uncultured bacterium. RNAcentral's name for it is "partial 16S ribosomal RNA". It matches the Rfam family "Bacterial small subunit ribosomal RNA", at positions 509 to 807 of the family's 1533-position model. The record is from RNAcentral.
CAGUAGCCGCGGGAAUACGAAGGGUGCAAGCGUUAAUCGGAAUUACUGGGCGUAAAGCGUGCGCAGGCGGUUUUGUAAGUCUGUCGUGAAAUCCCCGGGCUCAACCUGGGAAUGGCGAUGGAGACUGCAAGGCUAGAAUCUGGCAGAGGGGGGUAGAAUUCCACGUGUAGCAGUGAAAUGCGUAGAUAUGCGGAGGAACACCGAUGGCGAAGGCAAUCCCCUGGACCUGUACUGACGCUCAUGCACGAAAGCGCGGGGAGCAAACAGGAUUAGAUACCCCUGUAGUCCCUGUCUCUUAUAC